UACGGAGGAUGCAAGCGUUAUCCGGAAUUAUUGGGCGUAAAGCGUCCGCAGGUGGUUAUCCAAGUCUGCUGUUAAAGCGCGAGGCUUAACUUCGUACAGGCAGUGGAAACUGGGUGACUGGAGUAUGGUGAGGGUAGCGGGAAUUCCCAGUGGUAGCGGUGAAAUGACGUAGAUAUUGGGAAGAACACCAGCGGCGAAAGCGCGUGACUGGGCCGGAACUGACACUCAUGGACGAAAGCUAGGGGAGCGAAAGGG
This 255-nucleotide ribosomal RNA is filed under the name uncultured bacterium. Its description in RNAcentral is "partial 16S ribosomal RNA". It matches the Rfam family "Bacterial small subunit ribosomal RNA", at positions 524 to 776 of the family's 1533-position model. The record is from RNAcentral.